Molecule: long non-coding RNA, 503 nt
Filed under: Homo sapiens (human)
Lineage: Eukaryota; Metazoa; Chordata; Mammalia; Primates; Hominidae
Description: novel transcript
Source: RNAcentral
AUGCAACACUGGACAAGAUGCUAUGUGUGGAGCUCUGCACUGGAAGCUGCAGAUACAGCCAUGAGUGGAGGAUCGGGGUCUGGGUCUGUAAGCACUAAGAGCCUGAGCAGUGGGCCAGUGCUCCAAUGAAGCCAGAGGCCUCCUGGGUCCUGACACAGCUGGGGAUGGGAUUUGACAAAGGCCUGCAAACCGAAGCUGGACAACUUGAUAUAAAUCUGGAAGGACUCACCAUCACUGCAGACCAUGCAUGAGAAGGAAUGAUGUUCCUUGUGCCCAGGAAGCUAGGGAGACGUAUGAGAAGAAAGGAUGGCCUGUUAUGUGUAGUGACCUGAUGGAGACAGCCAUUCCACUCAGCCUCAUCCAAGGACAUGGGGACACAACAAGGGACCUCACGAGAUCGCUUUACAGACCAGUUGGUCCGGAGGCACAUUUCUUCUGCAGGGAUUGGCAAGGAAGAUUUCAGUCUUCAAGGUCUGUUGCUGGGCCUGGGCAAUGGAUGCGUU